This 370-nucleotide ribosomal RNA is filed under the name uncultured organism. Its description in RNAcentral is "bacterial SSU rRNA". It matches the Rfam family "Bacterial small subunit ribosomal RNA", at positions 526 to 896 of the family's 1533-position model. The record is from RNAcentral.
CGUAGGGUGCAAGCGUUAAUCGGAAUUACUGGGCGUAAAGCGUGCGCAGGCGGUUCUAUAAGACAGAUGUGAAAUCCCCGGGCUCAACCUGGGAACUGCAUUUGUGACUGUAGAGCUGGAGUACGGCAGAGGGGGAUGGAAUUCCGCGUGUAGCAGUGAAAUGCGUAGAUAUGCGGAGGAACACCGAUGGCGAAGGCAAUCCCCUGGGCCUGUACUGACGCUCAUGCACGAAAGCGUGGAGAGCAAACAGGAUUAGAUACCCUGGUAGUCCACGCCCUAAACGAUGUCAACUGGUUGUUGGGAAGGUUCCUUCUCAGUAACGUAGCUAACGCGUGAAGUUGACCGCCUGGGGAGUACGGCCGCAAGGUUG